GUGUGUUUUUCAAUUUAUUUCAUCUCAGUGUGUCUUUUUAAAAUCUCAGUGUGUAAUUUUGAAUUCUCAGUGUGUGUUUUUUAUUUUUUUAAAUCUCAGUGUGUAAUUUCGAUUUCUCAGUGUGUUAUUUUAGGUUUUUAAAUCUCAGUGUGUAUUUUUUUCGAAAAAAGGGUUUAAACAUAGUUUUGACGAGAACGGCUUGCCAUAAUAGAU
Molecule: long non-coding RNA, 213 nt
Filed under: Mytilus galloprovincialis (Mediterranean mussel)
Lineage: Eukaryota; Metazoa; Mollusca; Bivalvia; Mytilida; Mytilidae
Source: RNAcentral